UCGAACGCGAAAGGGGGGCAACCCCUUAGUAGAGUGGCGAACGGGUGAGUAAUACAUCGGAACGUACCCAGUAGCGGGGGAUAACCUCUCGAAAGAGAGGCUAAUACCGCAUACGACCUACGGGUGAAAGAGGGGGAUCGCAAGACCUCUCACUAUUGGAGCGGCCGAUGUCGGAUUAGCUAGUUGGUGGGGUAAAAGCCUACCAAGGCGACGAUCCGUAGCUGGUCUGAGAGGACGGCCAGCCACACUGGAACUGAGACACGGUCCAGACUCCUACGGGAGGCAGCAGUGGGGAAUUUUGGACAAUGGGCGAAAGCCUGAUCCAGCCAUGCCGCGUGAGUGAAGAAGGCCUUCGGGUUGUAAAGCUCUUUCGGCUGGGACGAAAAGGUCCGUGCUAACACCACGGAUCCAUGACGGUACCAGCAGAAGAAGCACCGGCUAACUACGUGCCAGCAGCCGCGGUAAUACGUAGGGUGCAGGCGUUAAUCGGAAUUACUGGGCGUAAAGCGUGCGCAGGCGGUUUGCUAAGACAGGUGUGAAAUCCCCGGGCUUAACCUGGGAACUGCGCUUGUAACUGGCAAGCUGGAGUGUGGCAGAGGGGGGUGGAAUUCCACGUGUAGCAGUGAAAUGCGUAGAGAUGUGGAGGAACACCGAUGGCGAAGGCAGCCCCCUGGGCUAACACUGACGCUCAUGCACGAAAGCGUGGGGAGCAAACAGGAUUAGAUACC
This 728-nucleotide ribosomal RNA is filed under the name uncultured bacterium. Its description in RNAcentral is "bacterial SSU rRNA". It matches the Rfam family "Bacterial small subunit ribosomal RNA", at positions 62 to 786 of the family's 1533-position model. The record is from RNAcentral.